Molecule: microRNA, 23 nt
Filed under: Gallus gallus (chicken)
Lineage: Eukaryota; Metazoa; Chordata; Aves; Galliformes; Phasianidae
Description: gga-miR-7453-5p
Source: miRBase by way of RNAcentral
UCAGAUGUGAGAACUCAGCAGCG